AUAGUAACAGAACAAUUGCUAAUGGUGUUGACAAGGAAGGGCCAGUGCUUUCAAAGCUUGGUUCAAGUUCCACAGCUGAGCUUCACCCAAAAAAUGGAGCUCAAGGUGAGUCCAAACCAACCAACAUGCCACCUACUAGUGUUAUGACAAGACUCAUCUUGAUCAUGGUUUGGAAGAAGCUGAUUAGGAAUCCCAACACUUACUCUAGCCUAAUUGGCCUCACAUGGUCUUUGAUCUCAUUCAAGAGUCCUUCAAAGUUCAAAGACUUGUUCUUUGAUUGAUUUGAUUAGUCUCUGAAAAUGAAACUGCAGGGUCACACAUUGCUGCAAAGAGCAGCACUAACUACUUUUCCUUUCAAUUUCACCUCUAAUGGCACCACCACAACCCUAACCCUCUCUGUCUUUCGAUGACACCAAAGUCUUCCUCAUAAACGCCUCAGAUUCAUUCCCACUUACACCAACACGGGACCCUCACCACGUGUUGAUGUCAAUAACAACCAGUUACAACAAGAAGAGCAAGAUGAUCUAGAGGUCCGCGUUGAGAAGAUUAUAUAUAGAUGCCGCUUCAUGGCUACUUUUGGAGUCUUUGGUUAUUUAAUUGUGGAAAUUAAUCGUGAAUCGGGUGACGACAUUUUGUACUAUUUAAAGAAUUUCAUUUUUGUUGUUAGUUGGUAGAGGACAAGCAUAGAAUUUAUUAUAUAUAACGUGACUUGUAAUUUUGAACUCUUAAAUUCCUUCCGUUCUUUUAUCCA
This is a non-coding RNA of Arachis ipaensis, 751 nucleotides long. The record is from RefSeq and is a predicted model, not a curated record. NCBI's taxonomy places the organism in Eukaryota, Viridiplantae, Streptophyta, Magnoliopsida, Fabales, Fabaceae.